AUGUCUGCAGCUCACUCCUCUCCUCUCUUCUCUGUCAGGGAAGGAGAGAGGAGAGGACAGGAUGUUAGCUGUGAGAGGGGUGGAGGUAAGACACCUGUCGAGGGAGGUGGGGAUUCAUUAGUAUUCAUUAUACAUUUCCCACCAGUUUCAGAGCAAAGUGGAGAGAGGAGGGGCACCAUCCAUCUCCUCCACAGAGAUACACACAGACGGCUGAAACCGAGAGGUCCUGUUUUGAGCGGCUGGGAGGUUUGCGGCAGCAGAUGGGCUGUCCCACUGUGUGCCUGAUUGAAACACAGAAGCUGGAUCCUUCUCAUAACAACAUCUCCAGCUCCUGUCAGCUCCAGCCAGGGAACAAAUCAGCCUUCCCGCGGCUCUGCUGCAGGGAACACGACUAUGUUCAGAGGAAAAGCAAGGCCUGGCCAAGGGCACAAAGGGUCCUUACAUUUUAGGACUGCCUGGCUGUCAGUGUUUACAAGCGCUGUGCUUUUGUACCCACAGAGGAUAGUCGUGAAAAUCAAAGCUGGAGGUGCAGAUGGCAGGUCUGUAUGUGGAAAGCAUCUGCAGACUGCACUGUGAAUAUUGAAGAAUUGAUUAUAUAAGCUGGUUCAGAUAGACUGGUCACUAUUGAUCACGUGCUUGAAGUUAAAAGCUUAGGUUAAUGAGGUCACACUUGCAUCACAGUUUUAUAAAGUAAAACUGACUACAUGUAAUCUGGAUUAUGUAAUCAGAUUCCAAAAUUGAGUACUCGUAAUUGACCCUUCACAAAAACACACCCUCCUUAAAUACAUUGUGAAACAGAGAGGAAACUGACAACAUGCCGACAGACAAGACAAAAUCAUGUUACUUCUCAUAUGAAACAAGGUCUCAGCUUUUAAAAUUUGUCUUUUUUUUUUUUUAAUAAGUUCAGACAAUAAGUAGCAUUUUGUGGCUCUUUACUGCGUUGAAUACGCUUCAGUUCAAAGCACGAAAUAAACAUGAAUGAACAUCAGAACAUAUUUUAUUUCAACCAUGUAAAGUCAUUACUAAUUUUUCAAAGUGGAAAUCCACUGCAGUUAAUCUACUCUCCUGUCUGAUUUGUUUGUUGGGCAAGAUAGUGGAUUCUGCGUUAUGAUUGGUCAAAUCGCCUGUCAAUCAAGCCCUUUGAGAAGUGUCAAUUGGAUAACAUUUUCAUAUUACAUUUAAUGUUUAAUAAUACAUUUUUAAAUGUUCUUUAUCAAAUUACAGUUACUUUUAUGGAUUAUAUAAAUAGAUAUUGUUCAUAAAAGGGAAGUAAAUUAUUCUCAAAAUCAUUGCC
This 1294-nucleotide long non-coding RNA is filed under the name Carassius auratus (goldfish). RNAcentral describes it as "lncRNA (ENSCARG00000007707.1)". Lineage: Eukaryota; Metazoa; Chordata; Actinopteri; Cypriniformes; Cyprinidae. The record is from RNAcentral.